Molecule: unclassified non-coding RNA, 230 nt
Filed under: Hevea brasiliensis (rubber tree)
Lineage: Eukaryota; Viridiplantae; Streptophyta; Magnoliopsida; Malpighiales; Euphorbiaceae
Source: RNAcentral
CAGAUCUGAUGAUCUAAAAAGCAAAGGCAACGGCAACCACACCGGCAACGGCUAUCCAGCUGGCGCCGGCCAAGGCAGCUGCGUUGGGAGUUGAAGAGGGGGAGUCAGCUGGAGCACCGGCGAUGGAGGGAGAUGUAGCGCCUGGGGAGGUGGCUGGAGCGCUGGGAGCCGGUGGGGAGGUGGCUGGAGCAGAUGCAGGGACGGCAGUGGGCGGAGAGACGGGAGCCACA